UAAUUAGUAGCAUAAAGGAAGUGCAAAGGGUUUUGAUCUCUUAUGUAUAGGUUCGAGUCCUAUCUUUUUAA
Molecule: transfer RNA, 71 nt
Filed under: Odorrana schmackeri (piebald odorous frog)
Lineage: Eukaryota; Metazoa; Chordata; Amphibia; Anura; Ranidae
Also listed under: 1 other name
Description: tRNA-Gln
Rfam family: tRNA
About the family: Transfer RNA (tRNA) molecules are approximately 80 nucleotides in length. Their secondary structure includes four short double-helical elements and three loops (D, anti-codon, and T loops). Further hydrogen bonds mediate the characteristic L-shaped molecular structure. tRNAs have two regions of fundamental functional importance: the anti-codon, which is responsible for specific mRNA codon recognition, and the 3' end, to which the tRNAs corresponding amino acid is attached (by aminoacyl-tRNA synthetases). tRNAs cope with the degeneracy of the genetic code in two manners: having more than one tRNA (with a specific anti-codon) for a particular amino acid; and 'wobble' base-pairing, i.e. permitting non-standard base-pairing at the 3rd anti-codon position.
Source: RNAcentral